GUUGAGAGCAUCGGUUCGCUCGAUUCACGUUCAGUUGAUUAGACGGGUUCUCGGCAGAUGGUCGCGGUUUUAGCUUCGCUCGUGGUCCACAAACUGCGUGGAUAUGAAAGAAAGUGCCGGUUGUGUGUGCUCUUUCGGUGCUCGUAGUGAAAAUUUGUGAUGUUUUGUAACAUGAAGAAGGGAAGAUAAUCGAGCAUUGCGUUGAAAAAAGCGGUUGUGAUCGAGUGUUCAAGCAAUUAAAAAUUAUUUCAAUCUUGUGACAAAAUAUAGAAAAAGUGAAAAAAUUCAAGUGUUGUACUGCAAAACUUAUCUUAAGAGUGGUCGCAUGGAUGUCUGUGAUCUACUUAAGCGCACCAUAUAAGCAAGCAUGAAUGAAAUUAAAAUUACCAUGUCCAACAAUAUUGAAUGGUGAUUAGCUGUGGCUACGAGACUCGAUCCAUGGGCGUAAUUGGAGAGUGGAUAAUAAAUCGAUGUCACCACAGCGCUGCCUUCCAGUAGAAGUUGUCUUCCAGCUGUAAUCAAUUGACUCAGCACUCUUGGAUUUCUCUGCACUGCAAAAAUUUCUGCCACCAUAGUGAUUCUGAUUACUACGUUUAUUUUCGGUGCAGAGGUGCAUACGAAAUCAGGUCAAUUACUUCCAGUCGCGCUGAUUCGAAAAGUGAACCGGCACUAUCGCCCUUCGAUCAAGGCUGAUUAACGGAACCGAGAUGAAAUCUUUGCACGAAAUGGACACCGGUGGAUACAUAAACGAAGAUGAUGAAUUGGAGCCGGUUAUGGAAGAUGAAGGUAAUUGAGUUUUCCCUUCGUUCGCUUUGCCGGGCCAAAAGGUAAAUGUGUGGCACCCAGGCGGAGUUGGCUUUUUAAUCGAUGCUCUGAAUUAUUGCAUGCUGACGGUGAUUCCGUCCGACCGUGCCGACUAUCUAUAAUGUUACCAGUAAGCCAAGCCACGGUGUAUCUUUACAUUCUUGAAAAACAAAAUAAUGAAAAAAGCCACAGAAAAACCUUCGCGAUCGUUUUGCAUGUGCAUGUUUUGUUGUUUUUUAUGUUUAAUUACCUGCGGUAUACACUGCUAGACAAUUUUCUAUAAUGUACACUUCUGCGAAGAGGGUCGUAAAUCUGGCGCGUGAAUGUUCGUGAAUGUCGUGGUUCCUCCCUCCUUUGCGAUUAUCAUUUGCGUGAAGGAAGAAGCUAGGAUGUGGUUAAAGUGUUUUUACUGCUGUUUUCCCACUAGAAAUGAUCGUAAAUCGCCGCCGCGGUAAUCUAUUUUGCUUGCCUGUUUGAAUGGGAAGAUAAAGCUAGCUUCUGUCGGUUUACGAUUGUACUAAUUCACAAUCGAUUAGCCUGUGUUAAGUUUUCAUUUACGCAUUUCAGCCGCAUAUCUAUGAACCGAUUAGGGAGAUAAGUAACACGGUGUCGCAAAAAUGUGACGUUUGUUUGUAGAUUAGUAGGCUACAGCUAGUUAUUCAAACAUAUGUUUUCACUUAAAUAUAUGUAUAGGAGUUUUAUGUUUAUACAGCUAUCAAUUUAUUCAUAGGUUCACAAAGAUUUCUCAUUUAUUUAUGCGUUGAAUCUUCGUUUUGAUUUCUAAAUGCAUGUUAAUGUUAGCAAAUUGUCAGCGGAUGGAAAACAUUAAAUACCAACUACUUUGAAUUUCAUUUGGCAUUUGAAGCAAAUUUGGGAACGAUUCGCGACUUUGUUUGCUUUUCCCAUGAAUUAAAAUGGAAACCUGAUAUAGCUGAUGGAUUCUAUUUGCUUCCAACUGAAGCCAUUCACAGCAUAUCGACACGUGACACGAAGCAUAACAAGGCAUCGUAUAUUAAAAUGUCAACAGAAAUGUGUCGUCGAAUGUAAAUACUAUUUCUUUGUGGAGUUGCAUCUUUUUGUCUUUAUUAACUAGAUUUUUAACAUAAGGCUAGUUUAUAUUGGGGGAAUUCAAAAUGAUGGUCUAAGACAAGUUACUGAUAAAAAACAUCUCAUAUAUUAGUUACAGUUUAUAUCAUGUGGGCGUUUAUUUAUAUAGCUUGAAGCAUACUUUUGA
Aedes albopictus (Asian tiger mosquito) is the source of this 2038-nucleotide long non-coding RNA. RefSeq lists it as uncharacterized. The record is from RefSeq and is a predicted model, not a curated record. The transcript is spliced from 3 exons. NCBI's taxonomy places the organism in Eukaryota, Metazoa, Arthropoda, Insecta, Diptera, Culicidae.